This is a long non-coding RNA of Oncorhynchus tshawytscha (Chinook salmon), 366 nucleotides long. NCBI's taxonomy places the organism in Eukaryota, Metazoa, Chordata, Actinopteri, Salmoniformes, Salmonidae. The record is from Ensembl.
UCUGGACCUGAUGGUCUGUUUAUACUGCCUCUGAACCUGAUGGUCUGUUUAUACUGCCUCUGAACCUGAUGGUCUGUUUAUACUGCCUCUGAACCUGAUGGUCUGUUUAUACUGCCUCUGUCAAUGCAGGGGACUUCCCAUUGGAUUGGUUCUGACAACAGUAGAAUGGAGGUUUGAUAACGUUAGUAUGGAGACAACAGUAGAAUGGAGGUUUGAUAACGUUAGUAUGGAGACAACAGUAGAAUGAAGGUUUGAUAACGUUAGUGUGGAGACAACAGUAGAAUGGAGGUUUGAUAACGUUAGUAUGGAGACAACAGUAGAAUGGAGGUUUGAUAACGUUAGUAUGGAGACAACAGUAGAAUGGAG